This 74-nucleotide transfer RNA is filed under the name compost metagenome. RNAcentral describes it as "tRNA-Ala". It matches the Rfam family "tRNA". From Rfam's summary of the family: Transfer RNA (tRNA) molecules are approximately 80 nucleotides in length. Their secondary structure includes four short double-helical elements and three loops (D, anti-codon, and T loops). The record is from RNAcentral.
GGGCUUGUAGCUCAAUGGGGAGAGCGCCUGCCUUGCAAGCAGGAGGUAGUCGGUUCGAACCCGACCAGGUCCAC